This 253-nucleotide ribosomal RNA is filed under the name uncultured bacterium. Its description in RNAcentral is "partial 16S ribosomal RNA". It matches the Rfam family "Bacterial small subunit ribosomal RNA", at positions 524 to 776 of the family's 1533-position model. The record is from RNAcentral.
UACAGAGGUGGCAAGCGUUGUUCGGAAUUACUGGGCGUAAAGGGCGCGUAGGCGGUCUUGUAAGUCUUGUGUGAAAUCCCUCGGCUUAACUGAGGAACUGCACGGGAUACUGCAUGACUUGAGAUCGGGAGAGGGAAGCGGAAUUCCGGGUGUAGCGGUGAAAUGUGUUGAUAUUGGAAGGAACACCGGAGGCGAAAGCGGUGUACUGGGGCUGGUCUGACGCUGAGGCACGAAAGCCAGGGGAGCGAACGGG